GUCUCUACCAAUAGCAUCAGUUAAGGAACGACUAGUUGAGGAGGUUAAAACCCAUGAUAUUUUGAUCAUUGUUGGUGAAACUGGAAGUGGAAAAACAACUCAAUUACCUCAGUUUUUAUUCAAUGCUGGGUUCUGUUGCGAUGGAAAAGUUAUUGGGAUAACUCAACCUAGGCGUGUUGCGGCGGUCUCCGUGGCAAAACGGGGGG
RNAcentral lists this unclassified non-coding RNA (206 nucleotides) under Hevea brasiliensis (rubber tree). Lineage: Eukaryota; Viridiplantae; Streptophyta; Magnoliopsida; Malpighiales; Euphorbiaceae. The record is from RNAcentral.